GCCAUCGUUCCGGUCGUCUGUUUGUCUGGAUCGCAGGGAUAAAUCGAAUGAAAAAUUGCGCGCAACGGGAGUAAAGCUACUCCGAAAGUGAGAAAGAGAAAGAAACAAGGAGUGUACCAACCUUUGCCGACAUUUCGCACGUCUUCGAGAAACCCGUGGAAACCGUCGCGUUAUCUCCAACUCGCAACGUUAGAAACCCGUUCAGCCAAAAUAUAAAGUUUUCCCUUCGGGAAAAAAAAGAAGAGAGAAAAAACCAAAAAUGGAAAAAAAGAACACUAUCGCCCGGGGUCGUCUUCGGACGGGAUUACCAGAUCAGAGGUUGGUCCGUCCCUGGAAGGGGAGGAU
RNAcentral lists this unclassified non-coding RNA (345 nucleotides) under Athalia rosae (coleseed sawfly). Its description in RNAcentral is "misc RNA ENSAEAG00005008282.1". The record is from RNAcentral. Lineage: Eukaryota; Metazoa; Arthropoda; Insecta; Hymenoptera; Athaliidae.